Dreissena polymorpha is the source of this 781-nucleotide long non-coding RNA. RefSeq lists it as uncharacterized. The record is from RefSeq and is a predicted model, not a curated record. The transcript has 3 exons. Lineage: Eukaryota; Metazoa; Mollusca; Bivalvia; Myida; Dreissenidae.
UGGUCGCCUAGAGGGAAACAGCCAGCCAAGAGAAAGCAGCCGGCCAAGAAAAAGGCGGACAGAAGCACGGAGCCGCUGCAGCCUAACCAGAACCCGGAACCCCGACAGCCUGAGGCUAACCCGGAGCCCAAGCAAGGUAGUACUCAGUCAUACGAUGUAUUCAACAUUGCAGUACGAGAGUACUGCGACAUGCCCUUGAAUACCUACAUUCAGUACUCUGACGACGUUCAUGUCGUACCACCACACACGGAGACGGUACCGGAGCCGCCGGCCCCACUGGCGGAAGGACCGGAGCCACAUCCCGGGACAUCGCGGGAAAGCAGACAUAACACAAGAUUGUGGUAUGCAUUGCCGACGGAGGAACAGUUGGUGGAGUCAGCAUAGGCCGAGGGGAUUCGUCCCAACCCUCAGGGAGUCUACAUCUGGAGCGAGCCCGAAGAGGACGAAGUCCCCAUCCCCGAAGAACCGCCCGCCAUGCAGGACGCAAUGAUGUCACCCGCAUUAACGUUGUCCAGCUCGCCCAGGUCGUCACCGCGUCCUCCGGGUCAAGGUCGUUCAGAUCGUCACACCCGUCCUCCUCGUCCAGGUCGUCACCCGCGUACUCCGCGUCCAGAUCCCCAUCGGACUCAAAGUCACCAGCCGCCUCCAGGUCGUCACCCGCGUCCUCCGCGUCCAGGUCGUCUAGCUCCGAGUCAACUUCGUCCUGGUCUGCCACGUCGGGCUCCUCAUCAGACUAUUUUCCUUUCGAGAUUUAUUCCUUGUCAGACUCGGACGUAGAAGU